Long non-coding RNA from Oncorhynchus tshawytscha (Chinook salmon), 428 nucleotides. Lineage: Eukaryota; Metazoa; Chordata; Actinopteri; Salmoniformes; Salmonidae. The record is from Ensembl.
GGCAGGUAGCAUAGUGGUUAGAGUGUAGAGGAGGCAGGUAGCCUAGUGGUUAGAGUGUAGAGGAGGCAGGUAGACUAGUGGUUAGAGUGUAGUGGCGGCAGGUAGUCUAGUGGUUAGAGUGAAGGGGGGUAGUCUAGUGGUUAGAGUGUAGGGGCGGCAGGUAGUCUAGUGGUUAGAGUGUAGGGGGGGCAGGUAGUCUAGUGGUUAGAGUGUAGAGGAGGCAGGGUAGUCUAGUGGUUAGAGUGUAGAGGCGGCAGGUAGUCUAGUGGUUAGAGUGUAGGGGUGGUAGGUAGUCUAGUGGUUAGAGUGUAGGGGAGUAGUCUAGUGGUUAGAGUGAAAUGGGAUACAGUACCUUCCUCUGUCCCCCAGACUGUACAGUCCCUUCCUCUGUCCCCCCCAGACUGUACAGUCCCUUCCUCUGUCCCCCC